AUGGGAACGCGAAGAACCUUACCUAGACUUGACAUCUCCUGAAUAGUGUAGAGAUACAUGAAGCCCUUCGGGCGAGAAGACAGGUGGUGCAUGGUUGUCGUCAGCUCGUGUCGUGAGAUGUUGGGUUAAGUCCCGCAACGAGCGCAACCCUUAUUACUAGUUGCUACCAUUAAGUUGAGCACUCUAGUGAGACUGCCCGGGGUUAACCGGGAGGAAGGCGGGGAGUGACGUCAAAUCAUCAUGCCCCUUAUGUCUAGGGCAACACACGUGCUACAAUGGUGAGUACAGAUAGAUGCGAUACCGCAAGGUGAGCCAAACUCUAAAACUCAUCCCAGUUCGGAUUGUAGGCUGCAACUCGCCUACAUG
Molecule: ribosomal RNA, 366 nt
Filed under: uncultured bacterium
Lineage: Bacteria
Description: bacterial SSU rRNA
Rfam family: Bacterial small subunit ribosomal RNA
Source: RNAcentral